GCAAGUGCUCACCGUCCAGUCCAGUCGAAGCCCUCAACCUGAACAACCUUGCAGGAUCUGCCUUGGAAAUGGAUUUGAAAGACAGGAAUGUCAAAAGUGGUUUUUUCAACUUGGGCUGCAAUCUUAAAUAAAAUCCAAACCAUCGACAACUCAAGGGCAAGGAGAAUGAUACUAUUGACUUUUUUGUUAGUGUAAAAAUUAUUAAUUGAUAUGUUAAUUUAUAGGGUAAAUUUCUUAAACUACUGUUUGCUAAAUCUUAACGGAAUGGCUGAAAUGUCCAUUUUACCCUUUAACUCAAACCUAGGAUCGAAAGCUAAAGCAAAAGUUUGGUGAGAAGGAGGUGAAGAAAGUAAAAGGAGCUGGUUCCCUUGAAUCUGACAAGAAAUCAAAAAAAUCCCCUGUUGCUGCUACAGAGACUUAGAAGAAGAGAUCAGUUGACAGAUCCAGUGACUUCUCCAGAUCCGGUGACUUCUCCAAUGGAAAGGAUCUCUCCAGAAAUCCUUCCAUCUACUGCAACCGUCGAAGCCAGGCGGAGCCCUAUUUUGCUCGAGGGGGAGAGAGGUUGGAUGUGGAGGGGUCCGUCGUUGCUACAACUUGCAAAAGAGGCAGUAAUGAAACAGGAACGAGAGGGAGAAAGAACGAAGGGAAUGGGGAAGAGAAAAAACGAAAGGGACAAAGAGAGAGAAGGAGGGAGGGAGAGGGAUCAGAUGUGGAGAGGUCCAUUGCAGCAGCGGCGGUGAUGAAACAGGGGCGAGAGGGAGAGAGAACGAAGGAACGGGGGGAGAGAGAGAAGUUAGUAGUCAUGGAUUCGUCCCUGUUUUCAAUCCUUCUUAAAUCCAUCAAAGAACUGGUUCAAUGAAAGCCCUCUCCAAACGCCUCGGGAAAUACGGGCUUCGAUAUGAUGACCUCUACGACCUGAUGUACGAUUUGGACAUAAAGAAGCACUGGCUCGCCUUCCUUGUGAGAUCGUUGACGCAAGGAUUCAGCGUCUGGUAUGCAGAUGUCGGUGCCAGAGUUAACCAGUAAACAAGGUACUUAGACAGAAUCGUUUUUCCGAAACGAGGGCACUUUCGAACAUAAAAGGGGGCUACAUAACAGGGGGUAGCCCAUCCCCCAACCCAAGUGCAGGCAGGACUCGACAAGUCUCCACUACGACCAGCAGGAGACCUUACUAACCAGCUGGUUAGCACCUUGCUUAUUUUUCACAAUCUCUUGUUUCACUAUAAUUGUCAUCACAUGCCUAGAGGCAUUGGGGGGUUUCUCACCUUUCAAGAAAAGUGAUCAUUGACAAUAUUGUGUCAUUACUUUGUUUAUUUGCUUGAAUACAGUGUGUAGAAAUCCUCAUUUGCUUGGAUUCAUUAUGGUAUUGACUUGUUGCUUUCUUUAUUUGUUUGAAUUCGUGCCAUAUGAAAAUUCGUGAUUUUAAAAACUGCAUGCUGCUUUGAUGAAUGGAUUUGAUUAUAUUAUGUAUUGAAUAAUGAAAUUUAUGAUAAGAAGUUAUGCCUUCUCAUGAAACUAAUGAUUUAAUGUUUUUUACAUGUAAAAUUCAUUAUUGAUAACGUUCUUAGUAUUUACCAAUACAAAAUAAUAAGAAAUUGAAAAUACGGCACAGGUAAACACGGAUCACAUCCAAUAAGUUGUAGAUUUAUUUGUCAAAUCCAUGAAUACAUAACCUUCAGCAUUAGAGUCCAAGAUGCAAUAUUUGCUCAUCCCUUGGUAGUGGCAAAAAUAACUAUGCAGAAUGAAAGACCAGUCACAACAUACGGAAGUGCAGAAGCAUGCAUCAUAAAACUUUUAUAAAAACAGUGCAGACUUGAUGACAGUCUGGCACUGGAAUUAGUUAUCACUCAAAUUAGAAUCAUCGUUUAGCCCUCAAAAACCAUGACCAGAAAAACCCAUAAACAAGGAUGACUUAAAUGUAGGCCUGAAUGUUCACCACUUCAUUGAGAUACAGGGCAUGUCAGCAUGUGUGAUUAGUGAUUACUUACCACCAAGAAAGAUAAAAACCAUGGACAGAGAGAGAACAAAGAAGAAUAACAUUCAAAAGCAGAAACCUUUUCAAGCAAAGAACUCGUGUUCAAACAGAACAAGACUAGAUAAACAAGGAUGACUUGAAUGUAGGCCUGAAUAUUCACCACUUCAUUGAGAUACAGGGCACGUCAGCAUGUGUGAUUAGUGAUUACUUACCAUCAAGAAAGAUAAAAAAUCAUGGACAGAGAGAGAACAAAGAAGGAUAACAUUCAAAAGCAGAAACCUUUUCAAGCAAAGAACUCGCGUUCAAACAGAACAAGACUAGAUAAGCUUAAAUUAACUCCCACAGGUAAGGUAGCCA
Molecule: non-coding RNA, 2332 nt
Organism: Nelumbo nucifera (sacred lotus)
Lineage: Eukaryota; Viridiplantae; Streptophyta; Magnoliopsida; Proteales; Nelumbonaceae
Source: RefSeq, a predicted model, not a curated record